UGUGAUGUAGCUCAAUGGUCGAGUGCUUGCCUACCAUGUACAGAGCCUUGGCUCAAUUCCUAGUACCACAA
RNAcentral lists this transfer RNA (71 nucleotides) under Mus musculus (house mouse). It matches the Rfam family "tRNA". From Rfam's summary of the family: Transfer RNA (tRNA) molecules are approximately 80 nucleotides in length. Their secondary structure includes four short double-helical elements and three loops (D, anti-codon, and T loops). Further hydrogen bonds mediate the characteristic L-shaped molecular structure. tRNAs have two regions of fundamental functional importance: the anti-codon, which is responsible for specific mRNA codon recognition, and the 3' end, to which the tRNAs corresponding amino acid is attached (by aminoacyl-tRNA synthetases). tRNAs cope with the degeneracy of the genetic code in two manners: having more than one tRNA (with a specific anti-codon) for a particular amino acid; and 'wobble' base-pairing, i.e. permitting non-standard base-pairing at the 3rd anti-codon position. The record is from Rfam by way of RNAcentral. Lineage: Eukaryota; Metazoa; Chordata; Mammalia; Rodentia; Muridae.